UUAAGAGAUUUGUGGUCACUCACU
This 24-nucleotide microRNA is filed under the name Prunus persica (peach). RNAcentral describes it as "microRNA miRNA_51". The record is from RNAcentral. Lineage: Eukaryota; Viridiplantae; Streptophyta; Magnoliopsida; Rosales; Rosaceae.